CGUCACGCACGCAAAGGACUCGAUGCCGUACGGAAACCAAGGCUCUUUGCGGCGACACAGCCAGAUGAGGCGGUCUGCUGUGGAAAGGCCACGGCGCGAUAUCAUACCUUCCGACGUUACCACAAGGUGUACGCCCAGGUUUGCGAUUUCGUCGAUCAGAGGCGCGCUUUGUUCGGUAGCCCAGUAGAGGUCGUCCACAAGCACGAGGACGCCUUCGUGAGCAUACGCGCGGACGAGCGGUCCGACGGCGCCCCACAUGUCGCCAACGUCAGAGUCGCCAAAACGAUGCCCGUCGUCGGUGCGCGUGGCCUCGUAAUCAGAGAUACCGAGACCCGCAAACACCUGGCCGAGGUCUCCGUCGUUGGACACAACGCACACGACGUGCUUGACGCGCCUCUUUAGGACGCGGGCGAUGCGCACGGCGAUGGUGGUCUUGCCCGCGCGGCGCGCGCUCUGCACGCAGGUGGCAGACCCGCGGUCCGGUCGACGCACGUGCGAGACACCGCGCCAGGCCAGGUCGCGCGUGCCAAAGUGCGCGUCUGCGAUCUCUGACCACGCCGUCAACAGGCGGCGCGCCACACGGCAGAACUCGGGCGAACCGCAGAGCGGCGCGUACGCCGAGCCGAGCCACGCGCGCAGGACCUCGACGUCGGUCACGUCGUCGUCCUCGUUUUUUUCGUCCGUCAAGGCGGCCUCGGCCGCGCGCAAGGCCUCGCCGACGAGAUGAUGCCAAAAGACCUCUUCCAAGGCCAACGAUGGUAAAUACGCAAAGAUGCCCAUGAUCUCUAUGGACUCUCUGUCUGUGGGCAGAGGCCAUGGGCACAUGCACGCGGCGGCACGCCCAAGAUGGGCCACGCCCAGAUCAUAGUGCAUUUUUUUUCUCUUCUCUCUUUCCGUUCUUGUUGGCCACGCGGAGCCAACGCGCGAGUCGUGUGUGCGCGCGACGUCAAACCGCCCUUUUUUCUUUUUGGAACAAAGGAAUGGCCACGCGACAGAGGACCUUGUUGUGCUCUUGCCGUUCUCCCGAGCAGGCGGCGCCAGUCUAGUGGGGCGCAGAGCGGCAGAUUGCAACAUAGAAUCCAUGCCAAUCUAUUUACCGAAAAAAAAGGCAAUCGCACGGCGAAUAAAAACCAGACCCAUCGAGCGACGCGAAAAAUAGGUCUAGCCAGUUGCUGCCGCGACAACAACUGGCCCCCAACAUGUUGCAAGUCGGCAAUGGAACCCAGGGCGCGCGUCGUCAGCGAGCCCGAGUUGUCUCGUGUGUGUGUCCUCGAUCGUGUUCUUUUUUCCCAUUGGACCAAUAUUUUUGUAGACAAAAAUGUCAAUGGCGCAAGGAGGGUACGAUCGCGCUGCACGCGAGCGACGCAGCAGACAGACGCAAAGAGGGACAACUCAUGACAACGUCGCCGGCGCGCGCAGACGCGCCACGGCCAGAGGCGCCAACUGGUGGCACAAGAGUUCGGGUCGUCGGGCGACGACCAACGGGUCGACGCCGACGCCCCACACGGCGGCGGCCUCGACCAGGCGCGCCGAAUCGCGCAGGCGCCCGUUGGGCAGGGACGGCGCUCUGCACGUGCGUUGCCACGCAUAGGCGGCGGCCCGGUCGAGCACAUCGCGCGAUACCAGACCGAGAUCAAGAGGGCCGUUGUAGGCGGCAGCGGCGGCCUGCACCAACGAAGUUUGUGCCUGGCGCCUUGCGGACGCGCCCGCGAGGCGCGCGUCGAUCUGACCGGCAAAGAGUCGCACAGCGAGCGCCAGAUGGCACUCGUCCACCUGUGCGCCGUACAGGCUGGCGUCAUCGACGGCAUUAGCGUUUUCGCGUCCGAUCAGCGUCAAUGCGUACUGGACGCCUGAGGGCAGGGCCAGCGACGACGGCACCGGCACCAUGAGGGCGUCGAUUUGCGCUGCGCCGGUCGGCAGAGGCUCCAACAAGAGGGACGAGAGCGCGUCCAGCGGCACGGGCUCCUCCCAAGGCGCCGGGCGCGCCAGCGACGCCAGAAAGGGCGCCACCCGGUCGAUCAACGGUUGCAGUGCCGGCGACACGGAAAAAGGAGGGGCCGCCACGUGCAUCCGGUACCGGAACCGGUGGGCGUCAUCGGGCAUCGAUAUGGCCGACACCAGAGGACUGUGGCCGGGCUGCGGCGUCAAGUUGACGAGCAUGACCCACGCCUCACUGUCCACGUAAAAGCGCAGCACAUAGUAGGCGCCAGUCGGCGUGCAGGCAAGGCUCUGGGCGAGGUCGCGGGCAUCGGUCGCGAGCGUCAAGGCAGACGGGUCCAUUGACGCGAGGGCAGCCUGCCGGCGGACGGCCUGGCCGAGCGCCAUGCCCAGCGACUGACCGGCGAUGGCCGGGCCCGAGACGGCGCUCUCGUCCUCGAUCCGCGCCAUGUGGCGACCCGCCGUCGCAGGCUCCAUCUCAGCAUAGACCGCCUGCACGUCGGCAAAGGUGGGCGGCCAGCCCGAUAUGCGCCCGGCGCGCGCCGCCUCGGCCACGACGGCCGCCGCGCCACUUCCCCAUGUGAGCGACUCCCACAGGCUGUCGUAGGCCUUGCGAAGCCGCGGAUAAAACCCGCCGCCUCGACGCGCCGCCUGCGUGCCCGAUUCAAUGUGGCCAGCGGCGAGGCGCACGAUCUCGCCCAAGUCCUCUGCAUUGGCCGUGCCACUUUGCAGGCGAUCGAUCCGUUGGUCCAACGUCUGGACGUCGCGCUCGUGAAUGUCGGAUGCAUCCAUAGUGUCGCCGUCAUCACCGCCCAAAUCGUCAAGCAAAGCCUGUUGGUCUGUGCGCGGACGCUUGGGUCCCAUUUGGUCAGGCUCAACCUCUUGCUGCCCGUCUUGACUGUCGUCGACGUCUUGGACCAUGCGGUCCGCGUCGCUGAUGGCGGUCGGCGAUCUCACGCGCUUCAUUUUGCGCGGACGCCUUGUCUUUGUGCGCUCCCAAAAGAUGGAAAAAACAGCAAUAAAAUUUGCGCAAGA
Molecule: long non-coding RNA, 2973 nt
Filed under: Pandoravirus salinus
Description: putative ncRNA
Source: RNAcentral